Molecule: ribosomal RNA, 849 nt
Filed under: Amplistroma erinaceum
Lineage: Eukaryota; Fungi; Ascomycota; Sordariomycetes; Amplistromataceae
Description: LSU rRNA
Rfam family: Eukaryotic large subunit ribosomal RNA
Source: RNAcentral
UUACCCCGCUUGAACUUUAGCAUAUCAAUAAGCGGAGGAUAAGAAACCAACAGGCCGCGGCGGCCCGAAUUGUAAUCUGUAGGGGAUGGUUCCAACUGACGUGUUCUGCGUAAGUCCCCUGGAACGGGGCGCCAUAGAGGGUGAGAGCCCCGUGAGGUAGGGCGCGCUCGGUAAAUUGUGAAUCUCCUCCGACGAGUCGAGUAGUUUGGGAAUGCUGCUCUAAAUGGGAGGUAUAUUCCUUCUAAAGCUAAAUACCGGCCGGAGACCGAUAGCGCACAAGUAGAGUGAUCGAAAGGUGAAAAGCACUUUGGAAAGAGAGUGAAAUAGUACGUGAAAUUGUUGCAGGGGAAGCGCUCUUGACCAGUCGCGCGCCGUGGGAUCAGCCGUCGUUUACUCGGCGGUGUACUCCCUCCGGUUGCGGGUCAGCACCGGCUCUGGCGGUGGGAUAGGCUCGCUGGGAACGUGGCCCUGCCUUCGGGUGGGGUGUUAUAGCCCGGUGUGCGUACCGCCUGCUGGGGCCGAGGUAUCUUGCGCCUUACGGCUAGGAUGCUGGCAUAAUGGUCAUCAGCGUCCCGUCUUGAAACACGGACCAAGGAGUCAAGCAUUGGUGCGAGUGUUAGGGUGUCAAACCCGACCGCGCAAUGAAGGUGAACUUUCUGGGUGAGAACCCCUUCCGGGGGGGCACCACCGACCGGGCCCAAAGCUUCUGCAGAGGGACCUGAGUACGAGCACCACCGCUUGGACCCGAAAGAUUGCGAACUAUGCCUGUGUAGGGUGAAGCCAGAGGAAACUCUGGUGGAGGCUCGCAGCGGUUCUGACGUGCAAAUCGAUCGUCAAACAUGGGCAUGG